This is a non-coding RNA of Caenorhabditis elegans, 70 nucleotides long. NCBI's taxonomy places the organism in Eukaryota, Metazoa, Nematoda, Chromadorea, Rhabditida, Rhabditidae. The record is from Ensembl.
GGGCUAAUCGCUAAUUAGACAGACGAGGGAGAAAGGCGGAAAGCUGAUGUCAAGGACAGGUGCCCCGGUC